AUGGUGUUCUCGGAUUCUCCCUGCGGCAACUUCAUUGCCGGCAUUGGCACCAACGGACGGACCCUACUCUACAACGGCGCCGUGGUCUCUCGCGGCCCCGUCAUGCCCUCCGUUAAGCAAUUUGUCUUCCUCGUCCCCGUCAGCGAUCGCAUGUUCUUCGUCAUCUCCCCAUACCCCUCUUAUGACGUUCCCCCGGGACCCCGGUUCGAGGUUCUCCAGCAUCACCCUUGCCCCGACAACGGCGGCCGCUGGGCCUGGAGCGCCGUCCCUGAGCCGCCGGGCUUCGCCCGCUGCAAGCGGGCGGACGUCACGGCCUACUUCGUGUCUGACGUGUGCGUCUGGAUCUCCUUGCAACACCAAGGCACUUACUCCUACGACACGGUACGCCGCAGGUGGCGCGUGGAGGGCGCCUGGCAGCUGCCUAUCAAGCGCCGGGGCGUGCUGGUCUCGGACUUCCUGGGCACGGGCCGGCGGCUGCUCUUCGGCUUCCAUGCAUUAGAAGAUUUCAGAGGGAAACCCUUUUGCGCUGUCGACAUGGACAUCAGGCCGCCCGCGAUCGUCGCGACCUGGCCGGAGGCCUUUCCUGCCGAGCCGGCGUGGCGCGCCGGAUAUACAAUAUGCUCGCAUGUCCCCGAGGUGGGGUACUUUGGAGGCGGCAGGUUUUGCCUCUGGGUGACCAAUCACAACAACGACAAGACACAUCGCCGCAGUGUCGUCUGUUUCAUGGCAGUCGAGCUCUCCCCAGAGCUGCGGCUACUCGAGCGCAAAUUCACCUGCUACCUGCUACCCCUUAGCUCACGCCCUUCUCCUGCUGAUGUAAUAAUGUAG
Molecule: ribosomal RNA, 828 nt
Filed under: Triticum aestivum (bread wheat)
Lineage: Eukaryota; Viridiplantae; Streptophyta; Magnoliopsida; Poales; Poaceae
Description: partial small subunit ribosomal RNA
Source: RNAcentral